CGCUGGAAAAAUUCUCCGAGUGUCUUAUAUAUUUCCUGGGGGCCUAACUGUAGGACAAGAAUCUCUGCCCUCAGGGGCUGAUGCUCCAACACAGUGUGAGAGCCAGACAUAAACAACUACAAGACAGGCAGAGCACGACUGUCACUCCAAGAGAGGCCCACGCUGCUCUGGGAGCCGAGAGGGGGCUGGUGCCCCACAUAGGGGAUAACUGAGCUGGCCCUUGAAGCAUGGACCAGAUUAUGACCAGUAGGAACGGAGGAAGAGGGCACUGGAAAAAGAUGGAACAAGGAGAGUGCAUAAUCAGGGUUCUCCAGAGAAACAGAACCAACAGAAUGUGUGUAUAUAUGGACACAGAGAGAUAGAUUUUAAAGAGUGGGCUUAUGCAGUUGUCAGGGUUGGCAAGUCCAAAAUCUGCAGAGCAGAACAACAGGUUGGAGACACAGGGACGAGCAGCAGUUUGAGUUCAAAGGCAGUCUAUCGGCAGAAUUCCCUCUGUAGUCCAGUCUUUUUCUUAAGACCUUCAAGUGAUUAGAUGAGGCCCACCCACGUUAUGGAAAGCAAUCUUCUAUACUCAAAGUCCCAGCCAAGUUAACAGAGUAUGUCUUAUGCACCUUUGCAUGCCCCAUUCCUGACACUACGACUCCCAUGAGUUGUCCAAAGAAAAUAAUUCAAAGGACUCAAAUAGAGGUUAAAGGCUUCAUUCAGCUGAUGAGGUCAGGGAGCACCUGAAGGCCAGCCAGGUAUAAAAUGAUGUGAUCAGACUACCAGAGCUCAAGAAGUCCCCAGUGAUCAAGGCUGAGCAGGAGGAAUGAGCAGAAGCUCACAGAAUUGGCGUGUAUCUCUAGCUUGAUGAAGCAGUCAUUUAAUACAGGGCAUUUCAUGUGAUCUCAGAAAGGAGAGCAG
RNAcentral lists this long non-coding RNA (903 nucleotides) under Equus caballus (horse). RNAcentral describes it as "lncRNA (ENSECAG00000049433.1)". Lineage: Eukaryota; Metazoa; Chordata; Mammalia; Perissodactyla; Equidae. The record is from RNAcentral.